GGCGAGAGGUCGGCGGCCUGAUGGAUGAGAUUGAGGGGUACAGUGAGUAGGUCGUCAUUAGAUGGGCAAAGUGUGUAGGCUGGGUCGUAGUAGGAAAUCAGGGAAGUAAGGUAGGAGGGGGCAAGGUGACUGCUCUAAAGCCUAAUGGAAAGAGAACAGGUGAGAGAGUCAGAGGAUCUGGGUUCUAAUCCCAGUUCCACCACUUGCCUGCUGUGUGACCUUUGGCAAGUCAUUAAAUGUAUCUGUGUCUGUUUUCCCCUCCAUAAAUUGGAAAUUCAAUACCUGUCCUCCCUUUUACUUAGACUGUGAGUCCCAUGUGGGACAGGGACUAUGCCAGCCCUGUUUAACUUGUAUCUACCCCAGCACUUUGAACAGUGCUUGACUCAUAGUAAGAGCUUAUCAAAUGUCACCAUCAGCAGCAGCAUAAUAAUUAUUUAUAUCUUAUUAUUCAAUUUGCAGGCCCUGAAAUGGAAUGUUUUGCCAAGCUACAACUUAAAACGGGAUCAGCAAAAUGUUUUCUUUCUUGGCAAUCAUCAUGAAGUCAUUGUCCAAUUGAGGACAUUAAACACUUCAGAGCUUCACUGUACGAGGUCUCCUAAAAGAACUGUGGUUCUUGGAAUCGAAUAUCUCACCAGCAGUUACACAGGGGUGCACUUGUCAUUACUUCAAGGGACUCUUGUGAGGAGAGGAAGGAAUUGAAGGGGAAGUCAAGGAAGGAUGCCUAUGGCAGCCCUGACAGUUCUGUGACCCAGGGCCUGUAUUGACUUUGGGGUCAAGACCAAACUCAGUGGUGCUGGACCUGGAUAUUCUUCCCUGUCUUGGGCCAUGUCUCUGCUGGGCCUGCCAGACAGAUGCUGUGGAGGAGGAAGAAGAGGAAGCAGCAUGGCUUAGUGGAAAGAGCGUGGGCCUGGGAAUCAGAGGACCUGUUCUAAACCCAGCUCCACCCCUUGUCUGCUGCUGUGAAAACUUAGGCAAGUCACUUCACUUCUAGCUACCUUUUUCCUCAACUGAAAAAUAGGGAUUCAAUACCUGUUUCCCCUCCCCUUAGACUCGGAGCCCCAAGUGGGUCUCAGGGACUCUUUCAGACUUGAUUAUUUUGUAUCUAUUCCAGCAACUAGAACAUAGUGAACAUUUAACAUAGUGAGCAUCCCCCCUUCUAGACUGUGAGCCCAUUGUUGGGUAGGGACUGUCCCUAUCUGUUGCCGAAUUGUACUUUCCAAGCGCUUUCAUUCAACCAUAUUUAUUGAGCGCCUCCUCUGUGCACAGCACAGUACUAAGUGCUUGGAAAGUACAGUUUGGCAACAGACAGAGACGAUCCGAUCCCUACCCAACAACGUGCUCACAGUCUAGAAGUGGGAGACAGACAACAAAAAAACCCAAAACAAGUAAACAGGCAUCAAUACCAUCAAAACAGAUAAAUAGCUUAGUACAGUGCUCUGCAAACAGUAAGCUCUCAAUAAAUAUGAUUGAAUGAAUUUAACAAAUACCCCUAUUAUCAUUAUUAUUAGAAUGGCCAAUGUCAGUUUUUAUGAAUAUCAGAGAGGGAUACACCUAUUACUCUCCCUCCAUCCCCCCAGCUCCCUUCCCACUCCAAAGCCUUAUUGAAGGCACAUCUCCUCCAAGAGGCCUUCCCAGACCAAGCCUCACUUUUCCUCAUCUCCCACUCCCUUCUGCAUCACUCUGACUUGUUCCUUUUGCUCUCCCCCGCCCCCCC
RNAcentral lists this long non-coding RNA (1714 nucleotides) under Ornithorhynchus anatinus (platypus). RNAcentral's name for it is "lncRNA (ENSOANG00000050506.1)". The record is from RNAcentral. Lineage: Eukaryota; Metazoa; Chordata; Mammalia; Monotremata; Ornithorhynchidae.